Sinocyclocheilus rhinocerous is the source of this 292-nucleotide long non-coding RNA. RefSeq lists it as uncharacterized. The record is from RefSeq and is a predicted model, not a curated record. The transcript is spliced from 3 exons. NCBI's taxonomy places the organism in Eukaryota, Metazoa, Chordata, Actinopteri, Cypriniformes, Cyprinidae.
UAUUACAGCUCAGUCCUGCUUCACUUACACUGUCCAGACACCUACAUACAAUCACAAACUGAGGAUCAAGUACACACUAAAGGCUGAUACAGUGCGGAUAGAGAGGGGUCUUCCUUCACGAGUGGUCUUUGUGAAUUCUGAGGCUGCCCAGGGAUCCCAGGAGCUGUCUGUCCAAGUCAAACAAGAGUGUAUCCAGACCAAGCUCAGGCUGCUGGGAGAUAUCCAGGACAAGCUGAUGAGCAUUUCCAUCAGCCUGUCUGUUUCUUUGCUGUCUAAUAAUCCGAAACAGACA